Molecule: long non-coding RNA, 441 nt
Organism: Symphalangus syndactylus (siamang)
Lineage: Eukaryota; Metazoa; Chordata; Mammalia; Primates; Hylobatidae
Source: RefSeq, a predicted model, not a curated record
AGUCCUGGUCCUGAAUAUUCCAGACAGAGCAUGAGUGGAUGAAAUGGAGUUUCACAGGAUUUCUCUUCACAUAGGCAGAGGAGAGAUGGCUUUCCUGAGCCACAGGAGUUUGCAACCCUGUGAUGGGAUGACCUGAGACCUUGUUUUCCAUGGGUGCUGUUACACUGCUGUUGGAAGAACACCAGGAGAUGCUCAGCUUCUUGACAGACUGUCAGUGUAAAGCUUUCUCCUGGGCAUGAGACAGUGGCCAAGAUACACACAGAGGCACACUGGAAACGCAGUAGAAAACGGCUGCCAAUUUAAAACCAGAAGUUAAGAAGAGCAAACUCGAAUGUACAGCAAGAGAGCUUCAGGCUGGACUGGCUUCCAGCAGAAGCAGGACUGGAAACCUUGGAUUCCAUCGUCUCUUCUCUGUGAAGUAGGGAAACAUGUCAGUAUCUG